RNAcentral lists this ribosomal RNA (428 nucleotides) under uncultured bacterium. Its description in RNAcentral is "partial 16S ribosomal RNA". It matches the Rfam family "Bacterial small subunit ribosomal RNA", at positions 354 to 796 of the family's 1533-position model. The record is from RNAcentral.
GUGGGGAAUAUUGGGCAAUGGGCGCAAGCCUGACCCAGCAACGCCGCGUGAAGGAAGAAGGCUUUCGGGUUGUAAACUUCUUUUACCAGGGACGAAACAAAUGACGGUACCUGGUGAAUAAGCCACGGCUAACUACGUGCCAGCAGCCGCGGUAAUCCGUAGGUGGCGAGCGUUAUCCGGAUUUAUUGGGUGUAAAGGGCGUGUAGGCGGGACAGCAAGUCAGAUGUGAAAACCAGAGGCUCAACCUCUGGCCUGCAUGUGAAACUGGUGUUCUGGAGUGUCGGAGAGGUAAGCGGAAUUCCGUGUGUAGCGGUGAAAUGCGUAGAUAUACGGAGGAACACCAGUGGCGAAGGCGGAUUACUGGACGAUAACUGACGCUGAGGCGCGAAAGCGUGGUGAGCAAACAGGAUUAGAAAUCCCAGUAGUCC